RNAcentral lists this long non-coding RNA (5038 nucleotides) under Hordeum vulgare. Its description in RNAcentral is "long non-coding RNA (HVUL_LNC009521)". The record is from RNAcentral. Lineage: Eukaryota; Viridiplantae; Streptophyta; Magnoliopsida; Poales; Poaceae.
GCACCAAUAGCUCAGGGUCAGAAAAAUACCAGUUUUUGUUGCAUGUUUCUUUUGCGGGCUUGUUCCCCCUUUUCUGCCUUCUUCAUCGAAGUCAUGGUGACGUAUGGCUUUCGUCUUCUUGAUUUCAAGAUGAACACUGUCACUUGCGUGGUCGUGUUCGUGCAUCUUUGUGAGAAUUUUGUCAAAGUGAUGCCUAGAAUCGCUCUAUUCCACCACUAUUUUGUUCCCUGCAUCGUGGGUGAUGCACUUUCCGGGAGAGUUACCUAGAUCCCCAGAAGCGGAAUCAAGAAGAUCUACCCUCAGCUUCUGUACCCCCAGAAGUGGAGGGCAUGCUAGUGUUUGAUUAAGGAGAAACAUAUCCAGUAGUUCUUCAUUCCCCAAAAGGACAAGCUUGAUCACCUCAAAGCCUGGAUCCACCUUAACUUCACGGCAAUAAGUUGAAGAUUGCGGUGACUCACAAUCUCCGUCUUAGGGCUGCCGGGCUCUCUAUGGAAAUGAUAGGACCCAAUAUCCUUUUCCGCCGCAUCGGUCCUCCGCAAGAGCGACAGUACCCUUCUUCAGACUUUAGGAAUGCAGGGGACAUCAUGAGAUUGCAUAUGUGGCCCGACGGGAUCCUGACAGUGGUACAUCACAUGGCCCUCGGCCACCAGCUCUUUUGGCUCGUCUACAAGUUCAACUUCUUGAUUGACUUGGUGCUGAUCUACAAUAACUCCGCCAAGGACUCCAUCCUGGCUAUGGUACUUAUCUACAACACCCAUGGAGUCAGGCCCAUGUUGGAGGUGCUAGCCAAUGUUGUGGUGUUGGAGUGGUUUGGCAACCUAACAGUGAAGCCCAUUUGGAAGGAAGGGGGCCUCGUCCGCAACACCACUAAAGUGGAGCUGCCCCACAUCGCUCAUGGUGUGAUGUAGUUGGGCAGGGAUGAGGCAGUCGGCAGGUCAAGGGCAACGACAACCAAGGACAAGAAGGAUACCGAAGACGAAGAGGUGGAGGACUUCCCUGAAGAUUCUAGUGGAGAGCAGGACUAUGUGUCCAUGUAGGACAUGGAGGACGACGAGACCCGAUUUCUCUGGCUGCUCCACAGAAGCAGUGGACACUCCCGAAGACGGUUACCAGCAAGCGAGUUUGCCCUUCAUCAUCAGGUGGAGAACUUGCCGACAAGAGGGGAGUAGGCAAGGGCUCCCGACAGCAAGUGUUCCGACAACCCACCACUCAAUGGCAGCCGACACAACGUACCCCGACAAGUGGCCUAUCGUCGUCUCUGCUAGAGUCACCAGGCCUUUGCAGUCUGUCGCCGCCCUGGCGGCCAAACAAGCCAGGACGUAGACCCUCCUCCUAUAUGUAGCACCCCCAAGAAGACAUCGGUUUGGGAUCUCUCCGUUCUCAGCAGCACCGAAGAGGAGGAGUAGGUCUUUCUGUGAGCUUCCCAACAAUUUGUGAUUCUCUUGUUGUUAUUAUUGAUAUGAUCCAUACUGGUUAAUGUGGUCCUCACAGCGAGGUGGAAACUUCGACAUAGCGGGUGGCCAAGAAGGCCAAGCUCUUCGUGGGGGCUGAUCCAGCUAUAAGCACUGCAUUGGGCGCUGGUGCCAUGGCGAGCACCCCCAUGUAACACCCAGAAUUUUUAAAUUUGAUUUUUUUUACUUAUAGCCUUUUUUUCGAUUUUUAAUUGGCUUUGACAAAAACUUUGAAGCUCUUUGACAAUCUCUUUAAGAAAACUUUUUAGAGCUUCUUGCUCAACAUGUUUGGUCAACAUGCUCUUCUCUAAAUGAAUUGGUUGGGAAAAUAUUUUAUUCUUUUGGAAAACCUUAGAAUUUGUUCCUAUAGGUUCAAUUAUUUUUUACCUCAAGGUUUCCGUUUCCUCCAUCCUAUUUUUGACCUUUUUACAUUUCUGCAACAUCUUGUUCUUCAUUUUUACUUAUAUACCAAAACUUUAGAAAGGUUGGGCCACCUUUCGUAAAUUAUUAUUAAUAAAAGAAUUUUAUGUAGUCCGUUUUGACCAAAUUUGCAAAGGAACUCAGUGAUUCCUUUGGAGUUUUGGACCCAAACUCCUACCCUUAGAAGACCUUUGUCCCCUCAACCGAUUUCACCAAAAACCUUGGGUUCACAAGUUUGAAAUUGUCAAAUUUGAUUUGACUCAAGUUUGACCAAAAUAUUUUGUUUUUAUUAAAAACUGCCUUAAAUUUUUCUAAAAAUAUGAAAAUUUACACUCUCUCUGCACCCAAUUAGAGGUCAUCUCAUAAAUUUCAGCUCCAAAAACCUUUUCCACGUGCCAAUUUCAUUUAAUCGAGCACCUGGUGUGCAGUAGCCACCAGACCGUGUAACUUUUUCAGUCAAAGUUUAGAGUUUCAGUGCAUCGUUGAUUCAAUCCCCCCCCAGCGUCAAUCUCAGCAGUUUUAGCGGCUGGAUUCCCUCGCCACUGUGCCAGGUUCUUAUACCCACACUGCACGGCUUGGACGCAUGCGUGCAUCCGUGGUGAGAUGGCCCGAGACAGCCAGCUCCGGCAACAGCAUCAGGAGCGGCUGCCGCAGCCACCAGAACCACCCCUACUGCAUCCCCGUACCGUCCGGCACCGCCCUUUGCCCUUGCAAACUCCGCAUGUCCCUGGCCACCAGUGCACGCCACAAUUUCCGUGGCCACAUCCCCAACAACGUAGAGCGCGAAUUGUGCUACCGCCUUCACCAGAGGGAACCGCUCCGUCCAGCCUGGUCCUCCCUCGAUGACCGAGUGACUUUAGGCUCAAAAUGGAAUCCCGAGCAGCGUAGGUACUGACCCGACCCCUAACUCUCCUGAUUAGGCCCCGAGAUCGCCGGAAUUUGUCGCCGGAGAUAAGCUCCGCGACACCCCCUCUCGGCCCUCUAUAAAUAGAGCUCCCCCUGCUGCCGAACCUCCUCAACCUCUCUAGCUCCUUCCCUCCUCACUCCAAAACCGCGCCCAAGCCAGAGAAGGGCCUCGGAGAGGCCUUAUUCCCUAGUUCCGGUCGCCCCGAUCCGCUUCGGGUUCUGGUUGGAUUCGUGUAAGGUGAGCGAAGAGGAACGCCCAGAGCUUGUCAGGAGUCUCCUAGUGGUCCCCUCCUCCUAAGACCCCCUUCAAUUUCGUCGUUGAACCGCCCCUUUGUGAGAUGGAGUGGUGCCCGACACCGUCGUCUGCCGGAGCAAGGCCGCCGUCAACGUGGAGCUUCCUCUCUCCAGCAGCUUGCUCUCUCCCUUUGUCAGUCAUCGCCGGCGACAACCGCACGCCUCUGGAGCCGAUGGAGUUUCGAACCUAACAGGGUGGGACCCCCGUCAGGGUUCUUUCUUUUUUUGAAUCGUUUCAUCAAAGGCGCCUUUUCCUGAAGCAGUUUUCGCUGCGGAUUGGCGCAUAAUCCUUCGGGGAUUUUGAGUUUUCUCAUACUAGCCCCUGGACAAAUUCUGUUUCAUUACAUAUUAGUCCCUGAACUUGUUUUUCCUAUAACUAUUAAACCACAACAGCUUUUGAAUUGAUUCUUUUUGCAAAUUCUUGCUCUGAGGGUCUGGUUUAUUUUCAGAUUUAUUUAAAAAUUAUUUGGAGCCAGUAGCUAGGCCUCAACUCUUACGACGGUAAGUUAUAUGACGUAGAUUCUGACAAAGGAAACACCGACGUUAACUUCACCGAGCUUCGUCCCGACUACGUGGAACGAGGAAAGCAUGUUUGAACUUUGGAUGUGUAGUUUUCUCACUAACAAAAAUUUGAUCCCAUGCUAGUCGAGGUCGGAGCCUCCCUGUCUUGUGGUUUUGCCCUGGCAGGGUAGUCCGGGUGGAGCCGGGCUUCGGGGGGGUAAAAUGGGCGUGUGUUGUUUCUGAGUUUCUGCUUGUAAUGGUUAAGGACGGUUCUUUGACAAGUCAAGUGUCGGUCUGGCAGGGUAGUCCGGGUUAAGGACGGUUAUUGACAAGUUAAGUGUCGGUCUCAGAGUCAGUCUUUGGAGUACAAGUGGUGGAACAAUAAUGGUUGCAAAUAUCUAACGGUAAUUUGGAAAAUUUUAUUAUUAUCUUAUUGGCUCAAAAAUUGUCCUGAAGGUUGGUUGUACCACCCGGAUAUUUAUUAUUUCUUUUCAUGCCCUUACUGUGGUGUUGCUAAGAUGCCCGACUGUGUCUUGCUAAUUAUUUUUUAUGUCGUUUCUGUGGUAUCGCUAAGACGGCCGACUGUGGCUUGUUAUUUAUUUUUUAUGCCCUUUUUGUGGUGUCGCUAAGACGCCCGACUCUGGCUUGUUAAUUAUUUUUUAUGUCGUUUCUGUGGUGUCGCUAAGACGCCCGACUGUGGCUUGCUAUUUAUUUUGUAUGCCCUUUCUGUGGUGUCGCUAAGACGCACGACUCUGGAUUGUUAUUAUUUUUAUGCCUUCUCUGUGGUGUUGCUAAGACGCCCGUUUGUGGCUUGUUAUUUAUUUUAUGCCUUGUAUGAGGCAUCGCUCACACGCUCGGUGCAUUUUAUCUUUUUGUUGGGAUAUCUCGGGAGGAUUACCGCCCGAUCUAUCCACUAACUUAACAUAUUUCUAACACACCCAUUUGAUAAAUUGUGACUUGAACCAUGCAUAUUAAUAAUUGGAUGCAUGCAUCUCAGCUUUUGUGCAAACUGUUUGCGAGUACUUUUUGAAGUACUCACUGGCUUGUUGAUGUGGCCAGAUAUGGAUGAACGAGACCUCAUGGAUGAAGAGUUCGACAACGAGUACGAUGUCUUGAGGAGUCCCAGUCAGUCUUGCGUUGCUGGAGUCUGCUGUUGGAUUAUUUCAUCGCUUCUGCCGCCACGAAUAAAUCAUCAAGCCUCACUCUGAUGCUUGGUGCGUAGUAGUACUUGUUAUGUCACAUUACUCUAAUGUGUCAUGCCCCUUUUAUUACGAACACUAGGGUUAUCACAUUACCAUGUAACAUAUCCAUCUGUGUGAGACUUGGACAAGUUGUAAUAAAUUGUAGAGCAACUUCUGCUCUACCUGUUUAAAAUUAAGUACUACUGGUUUUUUGUAUCAAGAUGAGUCUAUCAAUGCGAAAUACUUUUCUAGACUCGAUAUGCACAUGGAUGAUUUCCAAUAAAU